Molecule: transfer RNA, 65 nt
Filed under: Marmota monax (woodchuck)
Lineage: Eukaryota; Metazoa; Chordata; Mammalia; Rodentia; Sciuridae
Description: tRNA.Ser
Source: RNAcentral
GGUUGUGGCUCAGUGGUAGAGCACUCGCCUCGAACGUGCAAGGCUGAGUUCAAUCCUCAGCAUCA